AGUGAACGCUGGCGGUAGGCCUAACACAUGCAAGUCGAACGGCAGCACAGUAAGAGCUUGCUCUUACGGGUGGCGAGUGGCGGACGGGUGAGGAAUACAUCGGAAUCUACUUUUUCGUGGGGGAUAACGUAGGGAAACUUACGCUAAUACCGCAUACGACCUACGGGUGAAAGCAGGGGAUCUUCGGACCUUGCGCGAUUGAAUGAGCCGAUGUCGGAUUAGCUAGUUGGCGGGGUAAAGGCCCACCAAGGCGACGAUCCGUAGCUGGUCUGAGAGGAUGAUCAGCCACACUGGAACUGAGACACGGUCCGGACUCCUACGGGAGGCAGCAGUGGGGAAUAUUGGACAAUGGGCGCAAGCCUGGUCCAGCCAUACCGCGUGGGUGAAGAAGGCCUUCGGGUUGUAAAGCCCUUUUGUUGGGAAAGAAAAGCAGCAGGUUAAUACCCCGCUGUUCUGACGGUACCCAAAGAAUAAGCACCGGCUAACUUCGUG
This 492-nucleotide ribosomal RNA is filed under the name uncultured bacterium. Its description in RNAcentral is "partial 16S ribosomal RNA". It matches the Rfam family "Bacterial small subunit ribosomal RNA", at positions 29 to 507 of the family's 1533-position model. The record is from RNAcentral.